GUUAAGGAUCACACCCCAUUUCUUUCUUCCCCAACCCCUCACCCAAAACCAAAACUUCCACCCGGCCGUCGAAGUCAUCUCCGGCACCACCACCACCAUCGAUUUUUGGUUCAUCUACAAAUAUGUAUACAGGUAUGGCGACUGUGUUUGUUUCUUAUGUUUUUCAGUUUUAAGGCCAAUCGUUCUCAAAGUGAUGGUGAUCAAGCUGUGUCCGUGAAUUCCAAGGAUUUUGAUACAGAAGAAGGGAAUUUAGAUGGGGCUGUUUCUUUGGAAAGUGCCAUCGUUGCAAACGCUAGUAAGUAUCAAUUCAUUUCUGGCAAAAAUGUCAGUGAAUUCAUGGAAGAAACGAAAACUAUAAAAUUUGAAAUGUUUGUGGGCUCAAAUGAGGGUUUUGUUAGUAGUAAUCAUCAACAAAUUCUUGAUAGUGAAUUUUUGCAAAACCGAAAAUUUUUAGAGGUGCAGUCACAAGAAUUUUUAGAGGUGCAAUCACAAGAAAAUUUUCAACAACUUGAUGAGGAAAAAAGCAAGACAAGAAUUGGAGAUUAUUAUAGAGGAAAAAAAUGUUGUGGAUUGUGAGAUUUUCUGGGUUUUUUCUGCAGCAAUGGUGAUGGUUGUACUUUCCCCUUCUCUUCAAUCCUUCCCUCCAACACAAUUCGAUGGUUGGUGGUGGUGCUUGAUUUGGAGGUGGCGUUGAGCUGACGUUGAGGUAGGGGUGCCGGAGAUGGCUUCGACGGCUGGGUGGAAGUUGUUUUGGUCUUGGGUGAGGGGAUUGGGGAAGACGGAGAUGGGGUGGGUGUUUGUAUUUUUGUUUUUGACUUUUCUAAUUUUUAAUUUAAUAAGGGAAAUGAAUUAUUUUCAGAAUGUCCUUAUCUUAUUUUGGUGAAAUAAUUAAUUUUUUAAUUUUUG
RNAcentral lists this long non-coding RNA (906 nucleotides) under Olea europaea subsp. europaea. Lineage: Eukaryota; Viridiplantae; Streptophyta; Magnoliopsida; Lamiales; Oleaceae. The record is from RNAcentral.